UCGAGAGGCUUCGGCAAUGGGGGAAACCCUGACCGAGCGACGCCGCGUGGGCGAUGAAGGCCGUUAGGUUGUAAAGCCCUGUCGAGCGGGAAGAAACGCGUGAGGGUAAACAAUCCUCACGUCUGACGGUACCGCUAAAGGAAGCUCCGGCCAACUCCGUG
This 161-nucleotide ribosomal RNA is filed under the name uncultured bacterium. RNAcentral's name for it is "partial 16S ribosomal RNA". It matches the Rfam family "Bacterial small subunit ribosomal RNA", at positions 355 to 507 of the family's 1533-position model. The record is from RNAcentral.